RNAcentral lists this transfer RNA (85 nucleotides) under Felis catus (domestic cat). It matches the Rfam family "tRNA". Rfam says of the family: Transfer RNA (tRNA) molecules are approximately 80 nucleotides in length. Lineage: Eukaryota; Metazoa; Chordata; Mammalia; Carnivora; Felidae. The record is from Rfam by way of RNAcentral.
GCCUGGGUGGCUCAGUCGGUUAAGCAUCUGACUUUAGCUCAGGUCAUGAUCUCACAGUCUGUGGGUUUGAGCCCCGUGUCGGGCU